Molecule: ribosomal RNA, 253 nt
Filed under: uncultured bacterium
Lineage: Bacteria
Description: partial 16S ribosomal RNA
Rfam family: Bacterial small subunit ribosomal RNA
Source: RNAcentral
UACGUAGGGUGCAAGCGUUAAUCGGAAUUACUGGGCGUAAAGCGUGCGCAGGCGGUGAUGUAAGACAGGUGUGAAAUCCCCGGGCUUAACCUGGGAACUGCAUUUGUGACUGCAUCGCUGGAGUGCGGCAGAGGGGGAUGGAAUUCCGCGUGUAGCAGUGAAAUGCGUAGAUAUGCGGAGGAACACCGAUGGCGAAGGCAGCCUCCUGGGCCAAUACUGACGCUCAUGCACGAAAGCGUGGGGAGCAAACAGG